GGCCAGAGUGGCGGUGGACAGUGCAACCCAGCAAAUGGCUAUGUUGGGCUUGGUGCUGGUUUUGCAUCCUUUCUCCCCUUUUGGCGAGGGCCUCCUACAGGGUCAAAAAUUUCGAGGGAAAUGUAGGGUGAGCUCCCCAUGAACACUCAAGGAGGUGGCCUCAAUGCAACUGAUGUUGUUCAUGUGGGAAGAUAGAUCGUCUUGGUUCAAGGGAAGAAAGUUUGUAUAAAUGGGAGUCAAGCGGCAAAACAUCAUUGGCCUCCCUGACGGCAUGACCGUCAAGGCCAUGGACCUCUGGAUGUCACUGGCUGCCAAGUUCACGGAUAAGAUAUUUCUCGUUGUCGAGGCAAAAAGAAUUAUCUCCUAUCUCAGACACUCUUCUAUGGUGUGAAGAAGGUAAGGGGGUUAUCGCGUGAUUGUCUUCGACAUGUGGGGGUGACGGCCUUUGCUGACUAAAUAUGUAAACCAUGAAUAGAAAUCAUUCAGGCCAAUGUUUGAUUUAUAUUUUUGGAAGAAGAGACAUUUCAGGUUUGAGGAUGUGCGAGCAACACUGAUGGUACCAGAGGCUGACUAGGCACUCCAUUGCCAUUUCUGAGUCUCACAUGCCACCCUCGCUAUCGCUGCAUACAAAUGUUAUCCACUUCAUCUUGCUUCAUGUCCCAGGUAUGAGUUGUUGCAUGCUCUUCAUUGUUCUAUCGGUCUACUGGUACAUAGUAUGCGUGUCCUUCUCCAUUGUGUUCUGGGUCUGCUGGUCCAGAGACUUACGUUGAGCACGUUUCUACACUUGGCACACAAUGAACUCAAUUCUAUAGGCUUCUUGAAGUCCUACCUUUGGGUGAGUCAAAUUUUCUUGAGAUUCUAGAAUCCGUGUCCUGGGAUUUCAGUACAUCUCAGGAAACAAAUUGGAAACUUUUAUGUUGUUCUUUCCAGGAGUUCUUUUCUCGAUUUGGUUUUCAAGUUUAUUCCAGAGCCAACCUUUGUGCCAACCACUGAUGCAAGCAAGAAAGAAGCUUUAAUGAACAAUCUUUGGGGAUAAGUACAUCAUCAUAUAAUUUUGUUAUCUUACUAAAAAUAGGACGACUGAGUAGAAUUAGUUCUUUUUUGUGGAAACUAGACUGAUGAUGAUGGUUCGGGUAAAGAUAAAAUGAAAAAGUGGUAAGAAACUAAGAAUGUGUCUAAAUCAAUAAGCUCACUUGUUUUAUCAGUCUUGCACUUGUCAAACUUUCUUUUAGGUGACAUUAUUAUUUGUAGUAUUUCAUGCCACACGAGG
Molecule: long non-coding RNA, 1270 nt
Organism: Lolium rigidum
Lineage: Eukaryota; Viridiplantae; Streptophyta; Magnoliopsida; Poales; Poaceae
Exons: 6
Source: RefSeq, a predicted model, not a curated record